GAUGAACGCUGGCGGCGUGCCUAACACAUGCAAGUCGAGCGAUUUACUUCGGUAAAGAGCGGCGGACGGGUGAGUAACGCGUGGGUAACCUGCCCUGUACACACGGAUAACAUACUGAAAGGUAUGCUAAUACGGGAUAAAAUAAGAGAGUUGCAUGGCUUUCUUAUCAAAGCUUUUGCGGUACAGGAUGGACCCGCGGCUGAUUAGCUAGUUGGUAAGUUUACGGCUUACCAAGGCGACGAUCAGUAGCCGACCUGAGAGGGUGAUCGGCCACAUUUGAACGGAGACACGGUCCAAACUCCUACGGGAGGCAGCAGUGGGGAAUAUUGCACAAUGGGCGAAAGCCUGAUGCAGCAACGCCGCGUGAGCGAUGAAGGCCUUCGGGUCGUAAAGCUCUGUCCUCAAGGAAGAUAAUGACGGUACUUGAGGAAGAAGCCCCGGCUAACUACGUGCCAGCCGCCGCGGUAA
Molecule: ribosomal RNA, 468 nt
Filed under: uncultured bacterium
Lineage: Bacteria
Description: partial 16S ribosomal RNA
Rfam family: Bacterial small subunit ribosomal RNA
Source: RNAcentral